AGUUUCGCGCCACUUUCGGGUGCCCGGGAGCCUGCCAGGCUACGGGUUAAACGGGAAGUCGGUGAACCUUGGGUUGCGAACAGCCCCCCAAGGUGAAUCCGGCACUGCCCCCGCAACGGUGAUUGAGUACACCGCGAUCCGCGACCGGUCCGGCGCCGGCCGCCACCACUGUGCCUCAGGCAUGGGAAGGUGAUCGCGGCGGAAGAAUGUUCCACCUUCCACCUCAUCAGUCCGGAUACCGGCCCGAAGGGGAGAGGCUUG
This 261-nucleotide non-coding RNA is filed under the name Alloalcanivorax dieselolei. The record is from RNAcentral. Lineage: Bacteria; Pseudomonadati; Pseudomonadota; Gammaproteobacteria; Oceanospirillales; Alcanivoracaceae.